This 134-nucleotide transfer-messenger RNA is filed under the name Nitrospina sp. Its description in RNAcentral is "partial transfer-messenger RNA". It matches the Rfam family "transfer-messenger RNA", at positions 1 to 139 of the family's 374-position model. Rfam says of the family: Bacterial tmRNA, also known as 10Sa RNA or SsrA, is named for its dual tRNA and mRNA-like properties. Its role is to liberate the mRNA from a stalled ribosome. To accomplish this part of the tmRNA is used as a reading frame that ends in a translation stop signal. Lineage: Bacteria; Pseudomonadati; Nitrospinota; Nitrospinia; Nitrospinales; Nitrospinaceae. The record is from RNAcentral.
GGGGGCGAUCUGGUUUCGACGGGAAGAAUGAGACGGAGGUUGCAUGUACGGGAUGCCGUUGGCCCGUAAAAAAACGGCUAAAACAUAAUCGCUAACGAUUAUGAUGUAGCAGUAGCUGCUUAACUAAUACUUAA